GCCCAAAUCCAAGCCAUCCCAUUUAACUGGGACGAAUGCAUCCUAAGUUUACCAAGAGCACACUAACAUAUAUUAUCCACAAUAACUUCAACUAAUCACUAGAUGAAAACAUUGUUCGACACCAGUGGUGUGACAACAAAACAUUAGAGAUCCAAACAAAAUAGCAUGUUUUUCCCCUUCUCCAAAACAAAACACCAAGAAAUUACAGCACACCACC
This 217-nucleotide long non-coding RNA is filed under the name Nicotiana benthamiana. RNAcentral's name for it is "long non-coding RNA (NBEN_LNC019522)". The record is from RNAcentral. Lineage: Eukaryota; Viridiplantae; Streptophyta; Magnoliopsida; Solanales; Solanaceae.